CGGCAACAGCUCAAAUUUGAAAUCUGGCCUCUUUCGGGGUCCGAGUUGUAAUUUGUAGAGGAUGUUUUGGGUACCGCGCUGGUUUAAAUUUCUUGGAACAGAGCGUCAUAGAGGGUGAGAAUCCCGU
This 127-nucleotide ribosomal RNA is filed under the name Exophiala sp. RNAcentral describes it as "partial large subunit ribosomal RNA". Lineage: Eukaryota; Fungi; Ascomycota; Eurotiomycetes; Chaetothyriales; Herpotrichiellaceae. The record is from RNAcentral.